GACGAACGCUGGCGGCGUGCCUAAUACAUGCAAGUAGAACGCUGAAGGAGGAGCUUGCUUCUCUGGAUGAGUUGCGAACGGGUGAGUAACGCGUAGGUAACCUGCCUGGUAGCGGGGGAUAACUAUUGGAAACGAUAGCUAAUACCGCAUAAUAGCAGUUGUUGCAUGACAACUGUUUGAAAGGUGCAAUUGCACCACUACCAGAUGGACCUGCGUUGUAUUAGCUAGUUGGUGGGGUAACGGCUCACCAAGGCGACGAUACAUAGCCGACCUGGGAGGGGGGUCGGCCACACUGGGACUGGGACACGGCCCAGACUCCUACGGGAGGCAGCAGUAGGGAAUCUUCGGCAAUGGACGGAAGUCUGACCGAGCAACGCCGCGUGAGUGAAGAAGGUUUUCGGAUCGUAAAGCUCUGUUGUAAGAGAAGAACGAGUGUGAGAGUGGAAAGUUCACACUGUGACGGUAUCUUACCAGAAAGGGACGGCUAACUACGUG
Molecule: ribosomal RNA, 495 nt
Filed under: uncultured bacterium
Lineage: Bacteria
Description: partial 16S ribosomal RNA
Rfam family: Bacterial small subunit ribosomal RNA
Source: RNAcentral